This 307-nucleotide unclassified non-coding RNA is filed under the name plant metagenome. RNAcentral describes it as "partial contains 5.8S ribosomal RNA, internal transcribed spacer 2, and large subunit ribosomal RNA". The stretch from base 1 to 105 matches the Rfam family "5.8S ribosomal RNA", at positions 50 to 154 of the family's 154-position model. The record is from RNAcentral.
GAAAUGCGAUAAGUAAUGUGAAUUGCAGAAUUCAGUGAAUCAUCGAAUCUUUGAACGCACAUUGCUCCCGCCAGCACUCUGGCGGGCAUGCCUGUUCGAGCGUCAUUUCAACCCUCAGAACCCCUUGCGGGAUCUGGCGUUGGGGAGUGGCAUCCAGCCAGCCCCGAAAUCUAGUGGCGGUCCCUCCGCGACCUCCCCUGUGCAGUAGCGAUACCUCGCAGCGGGACAGCGGUCUGACCACGCCGUAAAACCCCCAACUUCUCAAGGUUGACCUCGAAUCAGGUAGGAAUACCCGCUGAACUUAAGC